GACGAACGCUGGCGGCGUGCUUAACACAUGCAAGUCGAACGGAAAGGCCUGCUUUCCCUUGUGGAUUGCGGGUACUCGAGUGGCGAACGGGUGAGUAACACGUGAGUGAUCUGCCCCCAACUUGGGUGUAAGCCUGGGAAACUGGGUCUAAUUCCCGAUAGGACUGCAGGGUGGUGCCUGUGGUGGAAAACGAUUUUCUAGUGGUUGGGGAUGAGCUCGCGGCCUAUCAGCUUGUUGGUGGGGUAAUGGCCUACCAAGGCGGCGACGGGUAGCCGGCCUGAGAGGGUGGACGGCCACAUUGGGACUGAGAUACGGCCCAGACUCCUACGGGAGGCAGCAGUGGGGAAUAUUGCACAAUGGGCGGAAGCCUGAUGCAGCGACGCCGCGUGGGGGAUGACGGCCUUCGGGUUGUAAACUCCUUUCGACCGCGAGGAAGCCACCUGGUUGGAAGGGUGGUGACGGUAGUGGUAGAAGAAGCACCGGCUAACUACGUG
RNAcentral lists this ribosomal RNA (494 nucleotides) under uncultured bacterium. Its description in RNAcentral is "partial 16S ribosomal RNA". It matches the Rfam family "Bacterial small subunit ribosomal RNA", at positions 28 to 507 of the family's 1533-position model. The record is from RNAcentral.